Molecule: transfer RNA, 77 nt
Filed under: Lingula anatina
Lineage: Eukaryota; Metazoa; Brachiopoda; Lingulata; Lingulida; Lingulidae
Rfam family: tRNA
About the family: Transfer RNA (tRNA) molecules are approximately 80 nucleotides in length. Their secondary structure includes four short double-helical elements and three loops (D, anti-codon, and T loops).
Source: Rfam by way of RNAcentral
GGAGAGCUAGCUCAGUGGUAGAGCAUUCACCUCCAUUGUAGUGUGGAAGGUCUUGGGUUCGAUUCCCAAGCUCUCCC